UCUUCCUUGUUCUGUCUCUCGGUCUUCCUUUUGCUUAUCCAUCCAAGUGUGACUACCAAAAGGAAAUUGUCGGCCGGAGAAGAUUUACAAUUCAUCUGAGAUUAUCAUGGCUUCCUUGAAUUAAUCCUUCGCAUACCCCUUUUACUGAUUCAUUUACCAAUUCCAUGACCCAUUUGAGAAAAAGCCCCAAUUGGUUUCAGCGUUGUAAGGAAAAUCCCUAUAACCAAAAUUUUAGGCUUCUCUCGAUUUCUCACUUGAUUCUGCAGGAGGGCAACAAAAGUAAACUAUUGGAGAAGACUGGGUCAACAGAACGGCACUGGCUUCUUUCAAUUUAAAGCUUCACUGCAGCACCAGGAAUGAACCCUCCUCCAUCUUCUGAUACUGAUGUUGACCUUGGGCAUUUCAGAUGAUUUUAUUCCGGAAAAAGCUUAUUGCGUAUCCCAAAUGCUGGUUCCCUUACUGAUAAGGAGGUUCGUAUGAUAUUCAACCUUCCAGACUUCACUAAGAUGAAAAAUCCGACUGAUCUUGUAGGUAAGGAUGAGGUGGUAGCUAAUAUUUAUCAGCUCGCGUGCGGACUCACAAAUCACAAUGCUGUAGAUUAUUUUACUUGCGCUUCUUAAUGCAUGGGAAAUUCCAGUGCAUCAAAUCCGUCACUUUGUUUUGUAUUGGAACGGGUGCUUUGUAUCUCCUAUAGAGGAUUGGAUCAUCACUUCUACAAAUUCCGAAGAUGGAAAAAAGAUCAUGGCGACAAUAUUCCCUGCAAUCCCAACUGGUGACGCCCUUAUAUUUAUGUUCAAGUCUCUGCCAACAAUCACACGUUUCAUCCAAUUAAUCUUCGUUGCUUGGCAGAUAAUGUACUCACAGGUGGUCCCAUAGUUGGUGACAGCAGUGACGACCGUAUUGAGGAAUUCUUCGAUCUACCGAGGAGCUUGUUUGAUGUGUCACUUUCUGAUGAGUUUGUUGACUGGUGUUAUGAUAGAGAUCUGAAUGCAAAUGAAAUCUCAGCCCCAAAUCAUGCUGUUCCUCUUAAUCAGAGACCAGGAGUUACUGCCGUAGAAUCUGACUCUGAGUCUUACGACUGUUAUUCUCCUAAAGCACCAGAAAUGAAUCCAAUGGAGACUGAUUACUGCCAAGGAUCAUCCUCUCCUUCUAGUUUGAUUAGAAUUCGCCGAAGACAUUAUAAGACAUUCACGGCUGGCGAUAAUUCCUCGGAUGCCCAUGACUUUGGAGCUAGUAAUGGUAGAACAAGGUUCAAGAGGCUUUGAAAAGGUGAUCAGCCCCCUCCCUUUACAUUUAAUGGUCGUGGUCGACGUCUGAAAAUUUCUCUGGUGAAUAAAGCUUUACAGUCUGUAGUAGUCCCUUUUGAGAAGCGAGCUUGUGUGGUUCAAAAGGUGGAUUUGCCCUGUGUUUGACGGAAAUAGAGAGAGCAAGUAUUCUGGUUCUGGCGAUGAGGUUCUUGGAAUGAACACUGAAAGUUCUGACGAUAUUUCUUCCGUUGUCCUAGUCCUUUUAUCGACUUAGGUGAUGCUGAAGUUCCUUCGGGAAGAGAAGCCGUAAGAGGAAAUGAUUUCUCCAACACGCUAUUUGCUGACAGUAACUCAUAUACCAAAGACAAUGCGACAACUGCCCAUGACGAUGUUUUAUCACCAGAGAACCUACUCGUGAUAAUGGAGAAAAAGUUAUCCAACCAUCCUUGCCACCUGAACCUUUGUCUGCCUUCGAUGUAUUUUACGUUGGAAUGAUGGGAAGUGGCUCGACUAACCCUUGUCCGGAGAAUGAAAAUGUUAGAAUAUACCGACCCACUUCGAUCCCGCAAUCUGACACUGGCAUUAGUCGACCUGCCGUUGCCUCUCCAUCUCCAGUCCAGCCGAUAAACGAGCCUGACUACAGCAUUUUGCUUAAAACCAUGACAGAACAUUACAACCAGGUAAGUGAAUCGAUCAAUCCACUAUUCGUGCCCUUGGUUAAAGCUAGUUUAAUGCUUUAGCUUGAUACCGAACUCCAGUGGAAGAGGUUCCAGUGAAUGGGCAUUUGGCUGGAAGUUUUCAUCAGCUUAAUUAGUAGAUAUCCAAAUGCUUAUUUUGCUUCCCUCGAAUGGCGGCUCAUUUCUUGUAUAUGUCGAGUAGCUAAGAGGAUAAGAGGCAUACUUUUAUUUACUCUUACCCCUUUAGUUUCUGAAAUCCGCGACUCAACUAAAUGAUGCGCACAAACAACGUGCUUUGGAAGGUGGUGCUGAUGCCGGUAUGAAACGGGAAGUCACACGUUUGGAGAGCGAAAAUACUGAGUUGUCUGCCGCUAUAAGGGUGCUCACCGAAGAGUUGGCUGGAGCGCACCAGGAAUUAGCUAACUCCAAAUCUCGUGAGUUGCAGAUGCAACUAUCCUUGGACGAAAUUAGUGAUGUGCUUCCGGAUUAUCGGGGGUUCUGACUUGCUUCCCGACAGUAAAACUCGGUAGGGGCUGUAUGACCUUUGCUUAUUCCACCAUUUGCAGCAAUUUUCUUCAUCGUCAGGCUGCAUCUUUUUGAACUCAACAGUAGGGUUCCGGCCGGGGAAUCUCAGUGUUUUGGUGUGAACACUCUUUUGUAUAUUAGCUGAAGAUAAGUUAACAGAGUAUGUGUUCUCUCUUUUUUGUGUAAGAACAUUCUAAGCUGACGUUGAAAUAGCUUGGAUGUCUUAUUCUUCUUCUUCAGUACUUGCCCCAAUUACCAUGAAAAACCUUUUGUGGUGGAAUGAAUUAACAAAGCAGAAAAUGCUCUAUACGUAA
Papaver somniferum (opium poppy) is the source of this 2763-nucleotide long non-coding RNA. RefSeq lists it as uncharacterized. NCBI's taxonomy places the organism in Eukaryota, Viridiplantae, Streptophyta, Magnoliopsida, Ranunculales, Papaveraceae. The record is from RefSeq and is a predicted model, not a curated record. The transcript has 3 exons.